This 2917-nucleotide small RNA is filed under the name Pongo abelii (Sumatran orangutan). RNAcentral's name for it is "retained intron". The record is from RNAcentral. Lineage: Eukaryota; Metazoa; Chordata; Mammalia; Primates; Hominidae.
GCAGAUCGCUUGCCGCUUGCUAGCUGUGUGGGCUGAGAGGUCUGGUAGGGCUGAGCUUGCGAGAGGAUCAACAUGCCUGUGAGUUGUUUACAUCGGGCUCCGGGUUUGUUUUGGGCUUCUUUACCGAGGGUCAUAUGGGACGGAUGAGUCCGGGUGCCUCUCGGGCCUGUAGUGUCCGAGAGUGGCGAGGCGGCUCCGGUUGCGCAGCGUCUUCGCGCGUGGCGGGCAUGUAGUGACUUGCCCGGUCAGCGCGGCGCGGCUGGCCCUGCGGGGGCGUGGGCUGCAAUUCAGAGGCGGUGGCUGGGAGGGGAACAGUUCUCUGUGUAGCUUAUGAGCGGUCUUGGUUUUUGAGGGUGCCCCUGAGGUUGUGAUCUUUCGGUCUUUUUGCUUUCCCAGUGCUUGGUGUUUCUCGCCCCCUCUGCCUUCUUUCGGAAGCGAUUUCCUACUUGUUUUCCUUUUAAAAACUGUCCUCGUUGUUGCCUUAUAUAUUAAUUCCGUCACGGACGGUCGCUCAGCAAGAAUUCCUGUCAGCUCAGCUGUUGAGCCACAGGAGCAAAAAUCACCCAGGCGCUGACGUUCUCUGGUCUACUUCAGCAGUUUCUACUCUAAGCGAGUCCACAGUCGGGGUCACUUUCUUUGCUUAGCACCUCGACUUCGCGCAGUUUUCAUUGAAGACAGUUCAUUACGCAGUUGAGUAAAGAAGGACAGAGUUUGCCUUACCAUAUGUUUCCUGAUCGUCCGAAAGCCCUCUUCUAGGGACUUGGAGAACACAAGUAUUAUGAAAAGUACUGAUGAAAGUUAUUAACAGGUUUCGAAAAAUAACUUUACUAUCUGACGUGUAGCUUCUGCCGAGGAUGACCGUUAUUCCUGUUUUUGCAUGUAUAUUUCAUGUAUGGUUAAAUGUGCCAGCAUUGUGGCUUAAAACUAAUAGUAAUAAUAUGCUUCUUUGUUCAGUUGGCUAGAGAUUUACUACAUCCGUCCUUGGAAGAGGAAAAGAAAAAACAUAAAAAGAAACGCCUAGUACAAAGUCCAAAUUCUUACUUUAUGGAUGUAAAAUGUCCAGGUUGCUACAAGAUCACCACGGUUUUCAGCCAUGCUCAGACAGUGGUUCUUUGUGUAGGUUGUUCAACAGUGUUGUGCCAGCCUACAGGAGGAAAGGCCAGACUCACAGAAGGUAUAUCAUUUGGCAUUCUCCAACCCGGUGAUGAGAUUGAUGAUUAUAAAUGUCUCUAUCUUCACUGAAAAGUUUAAAGAAAUCUUAAUGAUUACCAAAAUAACGUAUCUUUCAUUGUGUGCUUUCAGUAAAGAAUGCGCUGUUCAAAUGGAUAUAUUUAUACUCUUGGCCUUGCAGUGAACUCCACUGACUUAUUUUUCUUAGUUUAGAACACAUUUAUUCACUUAAUUUGCUUAACGUGGAAUAAAUUAAAUCAGAAUAGAAGCAAAAGAAUACAUGUUAUAGGACAUACAGAUUUAUUUAUUUAUUUAUUUUAUUAUUAUUUUUUUAAUUAGGAGUCUCGCUGUGUCGCCCAGGCUGGAGUGCAGUGGCGCCAUCUCGGCUCACUGCAACUUCUGCCUCCCCGGUUCAAGUGAUUCUCCUGCCUCAGCCUCCCGAGUAGCUGGGACCACAGGCGCAUGCCACCAUGCCCGGCUAAUUUUUUUGUAUUUUUAGUAGAGAUGGGGUUUCACUGUGUUAGCCAGGAUGGUCUUGAUCUCCUGACCUCAUGGUCCGCCCGCCUCGGCCUCCCAAAGUGCUGGGAUUACAGGCAUGAGCCACCUCGCCGGCCAGGACAUAUAGAUUUUUAAAACCAUAUAGAAUUUUAAAAUUUCUCUUACAAAAUUUUGUUCCAUAUGUAUUUAGUACAUAUAAUAGUUUUUUUUAUCAUUGCCAGCUAAGCAACAGAUAGCUAAUAUGUAAGUUAAAAUGCCAGAGGUUUUAUUUUUAUGAGCAACUGCAGUGAUUAAUAUAAAAAUCUAAUUUUAAUUCCUCUUUCACUUUAGUGCAAUAAGAAAAAAAAAUUAUAUAUAUAGUUUCCAUAGUAAUACUUGUAAAUUUACAAUUCCAUAAUGAUGUUAUAAAUUUGCUUGUGAUAUUUUGGGGAGCUGUAAGUUCCAUGCUCUCACUGGAAGAGUUCAAGUGGAUUGGCAGCAAAUCCGAGAUCUAUUUGGUGUGAUCUGGUGAGAUCUAAAUAUGGAGUCAGCACAUGAUAUUUUAAGACUAAUAUUGCUAAGUAUACUUGUGAGAUUUUUGAAACAAAGUAUGUCAUGUCAUGAUUUUGGAAUUUAGUGCCCAUAUGCUGACAGAUGGUUUAAUGGGUCUAUCUGUUCUAGAGUUUUCCUAAUAGGUCUGAAAAUACCUCUAAUCAAAAUUAUUUACUUGAGAAAAGUAUUCAGAAUAGUUCCUAAAAAUUAAGAGUAUAUCUUCUGACAGCUUGCUUGAAACAGUCUUCACUGUUGAAUUCAGGCUCAUGGUCUUAAGUAGACUUCAUUAUAGCAUUUGAGAAACAGGAGUGACACUUAUAGUCAUACCAGAGUAAACUCAGAUAUGAUAGAUGUAUUAUAGCAAAUUUCUGUUAUAAAAGGAUAAAUAAUCUGUAUAUGAGUAUUAAUCCAAUAUUCUUAAAACUUCAGUAUUUUACUUAAAAGUACUUUUUGUCAUUAAAAUUAUAGCAAAGGUAGAAUGCACUUGUUUAAUAUACUCUCAUGAUUCUUUUGCAGGGUGUUCAUUUAGAAGAAAGCAACACUAAUGAUUCAAACAGCUUCCUGAAUUUUGUGUUGUCUCACAGAAAGCCUUAUCAUAAAUUCCAUAAUUCUAAUUAAUUUACCAAGAUAAUGUAAUUACAUUUGGUUUUGUAAGGUAUACAACAGUAAUCUCCUAUUUUGGUGUCAGUUUUUCAAUAAAGUUUUGAUUAUGGGCAAA